RNAcentral lists this ribosomal RNA (253 nucleotides) under uncultured bacterium. RNAcentral describes it as "partial 16S ribosomal RNA". It matches the Rfam family "Bacterial small subunit ribosomal RNA", at positions 524 to 776 of the family's 1533-position model. The record is from RNAcentral.
UACGUAGGUGGCAAGCGUUGUCCGGAUUUAUUGGGUUUAAAGGGUGCGUAGGCGGGGAAUUAAGUCAGUGGUGAAAGCUGGUAGCUCAACUAUCAUAUUGCCAUUGAAACUGAUUUUCUCGAGUACGGUUGAGGUAGCUGGAAUGUAACAUGUAGCGGUGAAAUGCUUAGAUAUGUUACAGAACACCAAUUGCGAAGGCAGGCUACUAAACCGUAACUGACGCUGAGGCACGAAAGCGUGGGGAUCAAACAGG